GAUGAACGCUGGCGGCGUGCCUAAUACAUGCAAGUCGAGCGAAUGGAUUGAGAGCUUGCUCUUAUGAAGUUAGCGGCGGACGGGUGAGUAACACGUGGGUAACCUGCCCAUAAGACUGGGAUAACUCCGGGAAACCGGGGCUAAUACCGGAUAACAUUUUGAACCGCAUGGUUCGAAAUUGAAAGGCGGCUUCGGCUGUCACUUAUGGAUGGACCCGCGUCGCAUUAGCUAGUUGGUGAGGUAACGGCUCACCAAGGCAACGAUGCGUAGCCGACAUGAGAGGGUGAUCGGCCACACUGGGACUGAGACACGGCCCGGACUCCUACGGGAGGCAGCAGUAGGGAAUCUUCCGCAAUGGACGAAAGUCUGACGGAGCAACGCCGCGUGAGUGAUGAAGGCUUUCGGGUCGUAAAACUCUGUUGUUAGGGAAGAACAAGUGCUAGUUGAAUAAGCUGGCACCUUGACGGUACCUAACCAGAAAGCCACGGCUAACUACGUGCCAGCCGCCGCAGUAA
This 515-nucleotide ribosomal RNA is filed under the name uncultured bacterium. RNAcentral describes it as "partial 16S ribosomal RNA". It matches the Rfam family "Bacterial small subunit ribosomal RNA", at positions 28 to 523 of the family's 1533-position model. The record is from RNAcentral.